GGGUCGGUCCUCCUAUAGGUGUAGGAAGCUGUCUGUAAAACAGUGGUUUAAUACGAUUGCUGGUUCAAUUCCAGCUCGACCCA
The sequence is a transfer RNA, 83 nucleotides long. It matches the Rfam family "tRNA". Rfam says of the family: Transfer RNA (tRNA) molecules are approximately 80 nucleotides in length. Their secondary structure includes four short double-helical elements and three loops (D, anti-codon, and T loops). The record is from Rfam.